CCUACGGGGCGCAGCAGUGAGGAAUAUUGGUCAAUGGGCGAGAGCCUGAACCAGCCAAGUCGCGUGAGGGAGUACUGCCCUAUGGGUUGUAAACCUCUUUUGUCGGGGAGCAAAAGCCGGACGUGUCCGGCUGUGAGAGUACCCGAAGAAAAAGCAUCGGCUAACUACGUGCCAGCAGCCGCGGUAAUACGUAGGGGGCAAGCGUUAUCCGGAUUUACUGGGUGUAAAGGGAGCGUAGGUGGCAAGGCAAGUCAGAUGUGAAAACCCGGGGCCCAACCCCGGGAGUGCAUUUGAAACUGUCUGGC
Molecule: ribosomal RNA, 305 nt
Filed under: uncultured bacterium
Lineage: Bacteria
Description: bacterial SSU rRNA
Rfam family: Bacterial small subunit ribosomal RNA
Source: RNAcentral